UACGGAGGGAGCUAGCGUUGUUCGGAAUUACUGGGCGUAAAGCGCACGUAGGCGGUUCUGUAAGUUAGGAGUGAAAUCCCCGGGCUCAACCUGGGAACUGCUCUUAAGACUGCGGAACUUGAGGACGAGAGAGGAAAGUGGAAUUCCUAGUGUAGAGGUGAAAUUCGUAGAUAUUAGGAAGAACACCAGUGGCGAAGGCGACUUUCUGGCUCGUAUCUGACGCUGAGGUGCGAAAGCGUGGGGAGCAAACAGG
This 253-nucleotide ribosomal RNA is filed under the name uncultured bacterium. Its description in RNAcentral is "partial 16S ribosomal RNA". It matches the Rfam family "Bacterial small subunit ribosomal RNA", at positions 524 to 776 of the family's 1533-position model. The record is from RNAcentral.